Molecule: long non-coding RNA, 1951 nt
Organism: Peromyscus leucopus (white-footed mouse)
Lineage: Eukaryota; Metazoa; Chordata; Mammalia; Rodentia; Cricetidae
Exons: 2
Source: RefSeq, a predicted model, not a curated record
GGCGCAGCGGCCGCCACGCUGCGCCCCGAGGCCCAGCCGCAGCGGCGCCGGCAGGAGCAGCUCCCGGUCGCCGAUUAGUUUUAUCUCGGAACGUCAAUUGACUUAUACUGAUUGGCUUCCAGCCGCCAAAUGUCAAUUAAAUUGCAAAUGUUCGGCGGAGGCCCAGCGCGGGGCGCGAUGGCAGGCGGCCCCUUCCUGAGGGCGCCCGGUGCUGCCGUGGGAGCUGAGAGGAAGACAUGUGACAUUGAUUUGGAAGAUUCUCUGAACCAUGAGGAAGAAUAGGAAGGAGGUCCAGGAAGGAGCCAUUCGCUGGAAGGAUGAAGCCUUGGGCCCCAGAGAGGUUUGGCUGUUGGCCUGUCAACUGUCUCCAGUGUACCUCUCCCUCUGCCUCUUCUGUCUGCUUCCCUGAGGCUGUCUCUUGAGAGAGAGCUACAAGAGUUCUUAACUGAUAAAAUGUCCAGCAUUUAAAAGCUACAAACCUGGCCAGUCGUCCUUUGCAGAGAAGAAAUGUUCACUGAACAAAAGUGCCAUUCAGAGGUACUGGAUGGAGUCUGUGUCUCAGAGAGAAAAGAAAUGAACGGAAGAUGGAGAAGGGGGGGCGGCGUAGGAGGACAGAAGAGAGGGAACCGGGAGCUAGAGGACUUGUCAGGCUUCCCGCAUCCAAAUGGGGCCCAGAUGGGACAGGACCACAGCUAAGAUCACACAGCAAGGCAAUACUGAAACCAAACAAGGGGACUCGGGCUCCUCCACCUGAGUAUGCGCUCACAGCCUACAACAGCACACACACACACACACACACACACACACACACACACACACACACACACACACACCAGGCACAGCUGGAAUCAGCUGAGAUUCCGAAGCAUGGGGUUAAAAUGCUACCUGUCUGGAGUGCUUGCCCAGCAUGCACAAGCACCGGGAAAGAUCCUGAUGCGUUCUGUAAACUGAGUGUGUGGUACACCUCUAAUCCAGGUAAUCCUGGUGGGAAAAUCAGAAGCUCAAGAUCAUCCUGGGCUACAAAGCAAGUUCAAGACCAGCAUGAGCAACACCAGCCCCUAUCUCAAUAAGUGAAUAAAUUCUGAUUGUUUCUUCUUUUCCUUCUGAACCUAGCCAGAAUAACCUUAUCAAGCUGAUAUACCAUGUUCAACAAGAGGGAAAGCCAGACAUGGUGCUUGCAAUCCUAGCACUUGGAAGACUGAGGCUGGAGAUUCAGUGUGAGUUGGAGGCCAGCGUGCUAUACAAUGAGAUCUUGAGAGAAAAAUGAUGCGGGGGCGGCGGGGGGAGGGGGUUAGGCAAAAGAACAGGGAAUAGAGAAAUGUCUCCUCAAGGCUUUCAUGUGGAAUCUUAGAUUCAGGGUAAAACCACUCUGCUCUGAUAUUAGAAAAAUAAUAAUCAUUCCCUUGGGCCAGCGCAAAUCAGAUAUUAUAGGUAACAUUUUUAGUUACUAAGAAAGAUGGGGAAGCCCCCUUUCUAACAGAUAAAGAAACCAGGCAUCAAGGGAGACCUUCAGCUGUGAAAGCACACAUGACUGCUGGGAGGGAUCCCAUGCAUCCAUGGCGUCAUCCAUGUGAGUGGCCGGGCAAUACUGGAGCUAACUGGCUCAAAUGUGGCCGGGAAGAGUGCAGAGCUGGAGAUGUGUUGGAAUGGAGGCCCGAGAGGUGAAACAAACCUGAGCUGUGUCUUUCCAAGUCCAGCCUCAGGGCAGAACUGGAGACAGCUGAGGACACGCCCUGGAGGACACUCCACCCUACACCAGCACUAUCCUGUUGUGACACUGGGAGGCAAACCAGGUCCCCACCCAUUCUGCCAAACUCCGGGCUGAGCUGGGUGACCUUGGACAACUUCCUUGAGCUCUCUGAAUCUCUGUAAAAGGGAGGGUGAUGAGAGUACCCAGUUGGUAAACUGGUCGCACUAACUGCAUCAGUCAUUUAAAUGCACGUCGUCAAAA